Molecule: ribosomal RNA, 253 nt
Filed under: uncultured bacterium
Lineage: Bacteria
Description: partial 16S ribosomal RNA
Rfam family: Bacterial small subunit ribosomal RNA
Source: RNAcentral
UACAGAGGUCUCAAGCGUUGUUCGGAUUCAUUGGGCGUAAAGGGUGCGUAGGUGGCGUGGCAAGUCUGAUGUGAAAUCCCGGGGCUCAACCUCGGAACUGCAUUGGAUACUGCCAUGCUUGAGCACUGGAGAGGAGACUGGAAUUUACGGUGUAGCAGUGAAAUGCGUAGAUAUCGUAAGGAAGACCAGUGGCGAAGGCGAGUCUCUGGACAGUUGCUGACACUGAGGCACGAAGGCCAGGGGAGCAAACAGG